AACGUACCUCUGGGCGGCCGUGUUCGCAUCCACCACCCCAGCCGUGUGCAUCCACGAUCGGACCGAAUUCAUGCCACUGCCCAGCGGUUCCUCUUUCAUAGUGGUCCCCCCUCUUGGUAUAUUUUCCUGAAUCCCAAACAUUAAAACAGUUCGCGUGCAACACACUUCCAGCCAAAGAGAUGAAAUGAGAGUGUGAGCGAGGGCGCGUCGUCUCUCCAAGAGCCCCUUCGGAUAGCCGUGAGAGUUUGUUUGGGAUUUGUCGAAAAGAGAAGAAGAAGAAGAAGAAAAGAAAAAGCUGUCCCGACUCCUUCUUCAGUCCGUCCUGCGUUGGCACCACAUGAACGAUUCAGUGCGUGAAGAUUCUCAAGCCUCUCCAAGCAGCUUGUUUGGAUAGAUGGAGAUCCUCCCGUGGAAGAAGCGAAACAAGUCGCGCAAAUAGCAGGGAUAUUAGACUCGUUUUAAUUCAGUUAAACAUUUCUUGCAGCUUUCUGUUGUUGUUGUUGUUGUUGUUGAUGAUGAUGAUGAUGAUGGAGGUGAUGAUGCUCUUAGCUUGGUGGCAUCCUAUAACAACAGCAUCAAAAAAGGCUUCGGGACACUGCUGAAUCCAGCACUUCUGGCUCCAAAAGACAAAUAAACGCGUAAAUGAUCACCGUGGAGGUGUUCCCGGACACGGGAGAGGAUGAUGAGGGGCCUUUAGCGCGUCUUUGCAGAAUGGAUGGAAGCAUACAAAACUCAACCCUCUAUCCCCCAGGACUGGAACCUUUCCCGGGAGCCAAAAACUCCAGACCCACGGGAUACACGCUGUCAGAGGAUGACGCGCACGUGGGCGUGGCUUUGCCCAUACAUGGAGAGGAUUGACGCUUCCUGUCGCUGGGCUUUAAGCUUGGACCGUGAGUGCAUACGCGACUAGAGUCGCUGCUGCUGCUGACGCCGCUGCUGCUUUUCCAGUGCGCAUUGUGUCAAGUAAUCAUCAGACAGGGACAAAAAUGAAUGAUAAUGAAAGCCCGCGAAUAAGGCGCGGCGCGCGGGAACUAUAUUUCCUGAAAAACUGCCAUGCAAGUUUAUAGAGUGCAAAAGAGCACUGACUGACCACCCAUCCGCUGCAAUCGGUUUCCAGAAUAAAUAAAUAAAUAAAUAAAAAGUCUUACUGGGCCAUCAUUACUCUGACAGCAGUGCCAAACGUCCCGGACGCAAGCCUCCAAAUCGAUUCAAUUUGAUUACUCUCAAAUCAGGAAGGUGUGCUGGCAUUUUAAGACUACAUGCUCCUUAUAAUAAACACCCUGGGCAUCUGCAUAAUGGCGUAAUGCGCGUCUUAAAUUAUGGCAACGUGUACUGCUUGAAUACUGCGAGACCCGGUUUGCGUGCGUGGAGCGAGCCGAGGCGAUGUCAAACUCAUAGUCCUAGCGCGUACUCGCUUAAUUUUGUAAAUUAUUGCAGAAUUACAUCUGAAAGUGUGAAAGGACUCGGGGGAAACAUUGCGUCCACCCUCUCCUUCUAUGCGCAAGAAGUAGGAUGUCUUUUGUAAUAAAAAUAUAAUCAUUUAUCAGGACAAUAAGGGUCAUUUUCCACCCUUUCAUUUCGUAAGGUGCUCGUGUCUCCGAUAUUGACAGACUCUGCAUGUAUGUUAAUAUUUGAAUUAAUGGGGGAAAAUGGAAGUCCGAUGUUGGUUAUCUGGGGACCCUGUGCGCUGGAGGGAGGGAUGGAUGGAUGGACGGACGGAGAGAGGAGAAGAGAGAUGUGUUUUACACAGCAAUCUAUUCUGCUAGUGUUGGGGGUUAAUGACUAUUGCCAAAGAUAAGUGAAUUAUCAAAGCUGUUGCUCUUGCCUCGACUCAAAAUCCAUCACAUUGCAUCGUCGUCUAAUUAAAUACUGGACACUGCGGAUUGAGCUUUAUUCUGUCUGCCCAUGUUAGAUCUUAUUUGGGGAGAUGUACUAACCGAGAGCGCAGGACAAAGGAAAAGUUAGUCAUGCAGAAGGUGUGUGUGG
This is a long non-coding RNA of Cyprinus carpio carpio, 1986 nucleotides long. NCBI's taxonomy places the organism in Eukaryota, Metazoa, Chordata, Actinopteri, Cypriniformes, Cyprinidae. The record is from Ensembl.